AACCACCUGCGUGGCUUGUGAUGUUUUUGAAAGAGUGCCGGAAAGAAGGGGCCCAGGGCCAAGAAAGGAAAACGGAGCUGUGGAUUUGUGUGCAGCUCAGAGCACAGGCCUGAGAGCAAGAGGAGCAGGAACACUGCUGCUGUGCUGCCGCUGCCCCACGCCCACCACUAAUGUUGGUGUCGCAUUUUUAUGACUGAUGCGCCAUGUCAGACCUAGGCGUGCUGACUUUGCUUCUGUGCAUGCAGGGAAGGGAACAGAAAAGAGCCAUGAGUUAAAACUGGAUUUUCUGUUCCUAAUUUAUGCCAUGAGAGCCUUGACUACAACUUAAUUGGGAGCUCCAAAAUGGUGGAGAAACAGCUACUGAGGUACGCAGUGCUGGCAGAAAGCUGGAGUCAGGAACUGCAAUCCAAAAGGCUUCAGAAAAUCAAUGUGCUGAAUGAAGGAGGAGCUGAACCAAAUCGUUUCCCACCAAGUGGCAUAGAAAGAAGUCCAGCGACGUCAGGAGGACGGGGAUAUUGUGGACAUUAUCCAGGCUGAGGGGGAACAAUUCCCAGACCAGCUUUCCCACCUGCAGCGCUAUCAACAUGCACUCACCUGACACUCCCCGACUUCCUUCACAUCUCUCCCUGCGUCUGCGAGGCUCUUGGAACCUCCCGGUGUUCUGUCGACUGCAAGGGCAAACCCACCUGACUCUGGCAUUGGCUGAUGAAAACCCAUAUGGGUUUGAGAGAAGGAGCAGGGUCAGGAGCAGAGACAACACCUGGAUGAGAAGAGAAAACUCCAAAGCCUGUGAACAGAGUGAUGAGCUGAAGUUAGCCUGGGAGUAGGAACAUUGAUAGAGGAAUACAUGAAAAAUGUGGUGGGUCUUUUUUUUUUUUUUUUUUUUUUUUUUUUUUUUUUUUUAACAAUCUGAGAUGAGCAGUAAGCAAAUGUAGAACUCCUAAAAGAAUAUAAAAUGCUGCUGUGACGAAAUCUGUUUGUUCGCUUAAGUAGAAUAUUUGCUUUUAUUGAGAGAGGAGAACUAAACCUAGGUUUUUUCCCCUGGAAUGUACUAAUUUUAAAUGAUAUUGAUCAUAAAAAAUAUAUUCUUUUCUUACAACAA
Molecule: long non-coding RNA, 1102 nt
Organism: Mustela erminea (ermine)
Lineage: Eukaryota; Metazoa; Chordata; Mammalia; Carnivora; Mustelidae
Exons: 2
Source: RefSeq, a predicted model, not a curated record